This 450-nucleotide ribosomal RNA is filed under the name uncultured bacterium. RNAcentral describes it as "bacterial SSU rRNA". It matches the Rfam family "Bacterial small subunit ribosomal RNA", at positions 354 to 796 of the family's 1533-position model. The record is from RNAcentral.
GUCGAGAAUCUUUCACAAUGGGGGCAACCCUGAUGGAGCGACGCCGCGUGGAGGAUAAGGUCUUCGGAUUGUAAACUCCUGUCAUGCGGGAACAAGGCCGGCGGGCGAACAGCCUGACCGGAUUGAUGGUACCGCAAGAGGAAGAGACGGCUAACUCUGUGCCAGCAGCCGCGGUAAUACAGAGGUCUCAAGCGUUGUUCGGAAUCACUGGGCGUAAAGGGUGCGUAGGUGGCGUGGCAAGUCAGAUGUGAAAGCCCGGGGCUCAACCCCGGAACUGCAUCCGAUACUGCCAUGCUUGAGUACUGAAGGGGUGACUGGAAUUCUCGGUGUAGCAGUGAAAUGCGUGGAUAUCGAGAGGAACACCAAAGGCGAAGGCAGGUCACUGGGCAGUUACUGACACUGAGGCACGAAGGCCAGGGUAGCGAACGGGAUUAGAAACCCCUGUAGUCC